This 403-nucleotide ribosomal RNA is filed under the name uncultured bacterium. Its description in RNAcentral is "bacterial SSU rRNA". It matches the Rfam family "Bacterial small subunit ribosomal RNA", at positions 975 to 1375 of the family's 1533-position model. The record is from RNAcentral.
CUAGGUUUGACAUCCUCUGACAUCCGUAGAAAUACGGCUUUUGUAGCAAUACAACAGAGAGACAGGUGCUGCAUGGCUGUCGUCAGCUCGUGUCGUGAGAUGUUGGGUUAAGUCCCGCAACGAGCGCAACCCUUAUCCUUAGUUGCCAGCAGGUUAAGCUGGGCACUCUAAGGAGACUGCCGAUGAUAAAUCGGAGGAAGGUGGGGAUGACGUCAAAUCAUCAUGCCCCUUAUGUCUUGGGCUACACACGUGCUACAAUGGUCGGUACAAAGGGCAGCGAAGGAGUGAUCUGGAGCGAAUCCCAAUAAACCGAUCUCAGUUCGGAUUGUAGGCUGCAACUCGCCUACAUGAAGUCGGAGUUGCUAGUAAUCGCGAAUCAGAACGUCGCGGUGAAUGCGUUCCC